UUAAGCGACUAAGCGUACACGGUGGAUGCCCUGGCAGUCAGAGGCGAUGAAGGACGUGCUAAUCUGCGAAAAGCGUCGGUAAGGUGAUAUGAACCGUUAUAACCGGCGAUGUCCGAAUGGGGAAACCCAGUGCAAUUCGUUGCACUAUCGUUAACUGAAUACAUAGGUUAACGAGGCGAACCGGGGGAACUGAAACAUCUAAGUACCCCGAGGAAAAGAAAUCAACCGAGAUUCCCCCAGUAGCGGCGAGCGAACGGGGAGCAGCCCAGAGUCUGAAUCAGCUUGUGUGUUAGUGGAACGGUCUGGAAAGUCCGACGGUACAGGGUGAUAGUCCCGUACACCAAAAUGCACAGGNUGUGAACUCGAAGAGUAGGGCGGGACACGUGGUAUCCUGUCUGAAUAUGGGGGGACCAUCCUCCAAGGCUAAAUACUCCUGACUGACCGAUAGUGAACCAGUACCGUGAGGGAAAGGCGAAAAGAACCCCGGCGAGGGGAGUGAAAAAGAACCUGAAACCGUGUACGUACAAGCAGUGGGAGCACCUUCGGGUGUGACUGCGUACCUUUUGUAUAAUGGGUCAGCGACUUAUAUUCUGUAGCAAGGUUAACCGUAUAGGGGAGCCGCAGGGAAACCGAGUCUUAACUGGGCGUUAAGUUGCAGGGUAUAGACCCGAAACCCGGUGAUCUAGCCAUGGGCAGGUUGAAGGUUGGGUAACACUAACUGGAGGACCGAACCGACUAAUGUUGAAAAAUUAGCGGAUGACUUGUGGCUGGGGGUGAAAGGCCAAUCAAACCGGGAGAUAGCUGGUUCUCCCCGAAAGCUAUUUAGGUAGCGCCUCGUGAAUUCAUCUUCGGGGGUAGAGCACUGUUUCGGCUAGGGGGUCAUCCCGACUUACCAACCCGAUGCAAACUACGAAUACCGAAGAAUGUUAUCACGGGAGACACACGGCGGGUGCUAACGUCCGUCGUGAAGAGGGAAACAACCCAGACCGCCAGCUAAGGUCCCAAAGUCAUGGUUAAGUGGGAAACGAUGUGGGAAGGCACAGACAGCCAGGAUGUUGGCUUAGAAGCAGCCAUCAUUUAAAGAAAGCGUAAUAGCUCACUGGUCGAGUCGGCCUGCGCGGAAGAUGUAACGGGGCUAAACCAUGCACCGAAGCUGCGGCAGCGACACUAUGUGUUGUUGGGUAGGGGAGCGUUCUGUAAGCCUGCGAAGGUGACCUGUGAGGGUUGCUGGAGGUAUCAGAAGUGCGAAUGCUGACAUAAGUAACGAUAAAGCGGGUGAAAAGCCCGCUCGCCGGAAGACCAAGGGUUCCUGUCCAACGUUAAUCGGGGCAGGGUGAGUCGACCCCUAAGGCGAGGCCGAAAGGCGUAGUCGAUGGGAAACAGGUUAAUAUUCCUGUACUUGGUGUUACUGCGAAGGGGGGACGGAGAAGGCUAUGUUAGCCGGGCGACGGUUGUCCCGGUUUAAGCAUGUAGGCUGGUUGUCCAGGCAAAUCCGGAUAAUCAAGGCUGAGGUGUGAUGACGAGGCACUACGGUGCUGAAGUAACAAAUGCCCUGCUUCCAGGAAAAGCCUCUAAGCAUCAGGUAACAUCAAAUCGUACCCCAAACCGACACAGGUGGUCAGGUAGAGAAUACCAAGGCGCUUGAGAGAACUCGGGUGAAGGAACUAGGCAAAAUGGUGCCGUAACUUCGGGAGAAGGCACGCUGGUGUGUAGGUGAAGUCCCUGCGGAUGGAGCUGAGACCAGUCGAAGAUACCAGCUGGCUGCAACUGUUUAUUAAAAACACAGCACUGUGCAAACACGAAAGUGGACGUAUACGGUGUGACGCCUGCCCGGUGCCGGAAGGUUAAUUGAUGGGGUUAUCCGUAAGGAGAAGCUCUUGAUCGAAGCCCCGGUAAACGGCGGCCGUAACUAUAACGGUCCUAAGGUAGCGAAAUUCCUUGUCGGGUAAGUUCCGACCUGCACGAAUGGCGUAAUGAUGGCCAGGCUGUCUCCACCCGAGACUCAGUGAAAUUGAACUCGCUGUGAAGAUGCAGUGUACCCGCGGCAAGACGGAAAGACCCCGUGAACCUUUACUAUAGCUUGACACUGAACAUUGAGCCUUGAUGUGUAGGAUAGGUGGGAGGCUUUGAAGCGUGGACGCCAGUCUGCGUGGAGCCAACCUUGAAAUACCACCCUUUAAUGUUUGAUGUUCUAACGUUGGCCCCUUACCGGGGUUGCGGACAGUGUCUGGUGGGUAGUUUGACUGGGGCGGUCUCCUCCCAAAGCGUAACGGAGGAGCACGAAGGUUAGCUAAUCCUGGUCGGACAUCAGGAGGUUAGUGCAAUGGCAUAAGCUAGCUUGACUGCGAGCGUGACGGCGCGAGCAGGUGCGAAAGCAGGUCAUAGUGAUCCGGUGGUUCUGAAUGGAAGGGCCAUCGCUCAACGGAUAAAAGGUACUCCGGGGAUAACAGGCUGAUACCGCCCAAGAGUUCAUAUCGACGGCGGUGUUUGGCACCUCGAUGUCGGCUCAUCACAUCCUGGGGCUGAAGUAGGUCCCAAGGGUAUGGCUGUUCGCCAUUUAAAGUGGUACGCGAGCUGGGUUUAGAACGUCGUGAGACAGUUCGGUCCCUAUCUGCCGUGGGCGCUGGAGAAUUGAGGGGGGCUGCUCCUAGUACGAGAGGACCGGAGUGGACGCAUCACUGGUGUUCGGGUUGUCAUGCCAAUGGCACUGCCCGGUAGCUAAAUGCGGAAGAGAUAAGUGCUGAAAGCAUCUAAGCACGAAACUUGCCCCGAGAUGAGUUCUCCCUGAGACUUUAAGUCUCCUGAAGGAACGUUAAAGACGAUGACGUUGAUAGGCCGGGUGUGUAAGCGCAGCGAUGCGUUGAGCUAACCGGUACUAAUGAACCGUGAGGCUUAACCUU
This 2900-nucleotide ribosomal RNA is filed under the name Klebsiella pneumoniae. Its description in RNAcentral is "23S ribosomal RNA". It matches the Rfam family "Bacterial large subunit ribosomal RNA". Lineage: Bacteria; Pseudomonadati; Pseudomonadota; Gammaproteobacteria; Enterobacterales; Enterobacteriaceae. The record is from RNAcentral.